This 68-nucleotide transfer RNA is filed under the name Pyrops viridirostris. RNAcentral's name for it is "tRNA-Thr". The record is from RNAcentral. Lineage: Eukaryota; Metazoa; Arthropoda; Insecta; Hemiptera; Fulgoridae.
GUCCAAGAUAGUUUAAAAAAAACAAUGAUCUUGUAAAUCAUAAUUUAAAGCAAAUUAUUAUCUGGGCU